AGUCACUGACAUUAGAUACCCGUGUAGUCCAGGGUGUAAACGCUGCAGACUUGGUGUUGGAAGCCCUUUGGGGGCAUUCAGUGCCGGAGAGAAGUUGUUAAGUCUGCUACUUGGGAGUACGUCCGCAAGGAUGAAACUUAAAGGAAUUGGCGGGGGAGCACCGCAACGGGAGGAGCGUGCGGUUUAAUUGGAUUCAACACCGUAAAACUCACCAGGGAAGACUGUUACAUGAAGGCCGAGAUGAAGACUCUGCCAGAUUUUCAG
This 264-nucleotide ribosomal RNA is filed under the name uncultured archaeon. RNAcentral describes it as "partial 16S ribosomal RNA". It matches the Rfam family "Archaeal small subunit ribosomal RNA", at positions 717 to 982 of the family's 1478-position model. The record is from RNAcentral.